GCCCUCUCCAUCCUUCUCAGAUGCUCCCGGGGCCGUCCCAGAAGGCCAGGGCUUGAGGGCCAAUGAAUUGCCCGGAUGAACCCCAAAGUAGAUUGAGUGAUUGCACCCGUGUCACAAAACCGUGAGGUUCACCACAAUGUCAAGUACUGUCCAGUGAUCCUGAAACACUGCUGAGACCAGAGUAGUUGGAAAACAGGACUGGAAAUGGAUUGCCGUUGAAAACAGAAGGGUGCAAGGCUCUCUGAGUGGUUACAAGGGAACUUUCUGUCUUUAGAAGAUGUAUUAACUGGGUGGAGAGAUUGAAUGUACGCUGAUGAAAAUCUAGAAAGCAUCGCAAUGGAAUGCAAAGACUAACUCAGCGAGGACACGUGAGAGCCAGUCUUUCUCUCCUAACAUUCUCUACGAUUCAGUCAAACUAGGGUACAGGUGAAGGAUCAGACUCAGGAAGAUGAAUGACUUGCCUGAAGUCGCCGAGGUAGAGGGACGGAGUAAAGAACCAGCUGCCAAUCUGUCAGCUUCCAGAGGUCUUCUACUACGUGAUCUUUCCUUCCAAGCACUGGAAGGGUGGGGAGGGAAGGAUGUGUCAGGGCUGGAU
This is a non-coding RNA of Vicugna pacos (alpaca), 595 nucleotides long. The record is from RefSeq and is a predicted model, not a curated record. Lineage: Eukaryota; Metazoa; Chordata; Mammalia; Artiodactyla; Camelidae.